CCUACGGGAGGCAGCAGUGGGGAAUAUUGCACAAUGGGCGAAAGCCUGAUGCAGCAACGCCGCGUGAAGGAAGACGGCUUUCGGAUUGUAAACUUCUUUUCUUAGUGAAGAAUAAUGACGGUAACUAAGGAGCAAGCCACGGCUAACUACGUGACAGCAGCCGCGGUAAUACGUAGGUGGCAAGCGUUGUCCGGAAUUACUGGGGGUAAAGGGAUCGUAGGCGGGAAGCCAAUUCAGUGGGGAAAAGUACGGGCUUAACCUGUAGACUGCAGUUGAAACUGGCUUUCUUGAGUGAAGUAGAGGUUGGCGGAAUUCGGAGUGUAGCGGUGAAAUGCGUAGAUAUUCGGAGGAACACCGGUGGCGAAGGCGGCCAACUGGGCUUUAACUGACGCUGAGGCUCGAAAGUGUGGGGAGCAAACAGGAUUAGAUACCCGAGUAGUC
RNAcentral lists this ribosomal RNA (441 nucleotides) under uncultured bacterium. RNAcentral's name for it is "partial 16S ribosomal RNA". It matches the Rfam family "Bacterial small subunit ribosomal RNA", at positions 338 to 795 of the family's 1533-position model. The record is from RNAcentral.